Molecule: unclassified non-coding RNA, 151 nt
Filed under: uncultured fungus
Lineage: Eukaryota; Fungi
Description: sequence contains ITS1, 5.8S rRNA gene
Source: RNAcentral
CCAAAGGAAAUAACUUCCUACGCACUGUGAACUGUUUUGACUGACAGUCAGUGACUGUUUGCCCUGCUUACUGUAGGGCUACGUGUUGCUGACUGUACUUACUAAACGUAUUGUAACUGUUAAACUGAACUACUUUAGUAUGAACUAAAGA